UUUAAAAUUUAACCUGCCCAAUGAAGAUUAAAUGGCCGCAGUAAUUUGACUGUGCAAAGGUAGCAUAAUCAUUAGUUUUUUAAUUGAAAGCUGGUAUGAAUGGUUGGACGAGAAAAUGACUGUCUCAAUUUAAAUUUAAUUAGAAUUUUAUUUUUAAGUUAAAAAGCUUAAAUAAUAUUAAAAGACGAGAAGACCCUAUAGAGUUUUAUAUAUUAAUAUAUUUAUAAUUUAAGGUAAUUUAAUGUUAUAAAUAAAUUGAUGUAUUUUGUUGGGGUGAUAGUAAAAUUAAAUUAACUUUUAUUAUUUAUUUACAUUAAUUAAUGAAUUUAUGAUCCAUUAUUUAUGAUUAAAAGAUUAAAUUACCUUAGGGAUAACAGCGUUAUUUUUUUAAGAGUUCUUAUUGAAAAAAAAGUUUGCGACCUCGAUGUUGGAUUAAAAUUAACUUUAGGUGCAGGAGCUUAAAGGUUAGGUCUGUUCGACCUUUAAAAUUUUACAUGAUCUGAGUUCAAACCGG
RNAcentral lists this ribosomal RNA (514 nucleotides) under Lepithrix cf. 'forsteri' DA-2011. Its description in RNAcentral is "partial 16S large subunit ribosomal RNA". It matches the Rfam family "Bacterial large subunit ribosomal RNA", at positions 1846 to 2619 of the family's 2925-position model. Lineage: Eukaryota; Metazoa; Arthropoda; Insecta; Coleoptera; Scarabaeidae. The record is from RNAcentral.